Molecule: ribosomal RNA, 1307 nt
Filed under: fungal sp. AEA 11035
Lineage: Eukaryota; Fungi
Description: eukaryotic LSU rRNA
Rfam family: Eukaryotic large subunit ribosomal RNA
Source: RNAcentral
AUUGCCUUAGUAACGGCGAGUGAAGCGGCAAUAGCUCAAAUUUGAAAUCUGGCGCUUGCGUCCGAGUUGUAAUUUGUAGAGGAUGAUUUUGGUUAGGUACCUUUCGAGUUCCUUGGAACAGGACGCCUUAGAGGGUGAGAGCCCCGUACGAUUGGAUGCCGAGCCUCUGUAAAUCUCCUUCGACGAGUCGAGUAGUUUGGGAAUGCUGCUCUAAAUGGGAGGUAAAUUUCUUCUAAAGCUAAAUACCGGCCAGAGACCGAUAGCGCACAAGUAGAGUGAUCGAAAGAUGAAAAGCACUUUGAAAAGAGGGUUAAAUAGCACGUGAAAUUGUUGAAAGGGAAGGAUUUAUGACCAGACUUUUUCUAGGAGGAUCAUCCGGUGUUCUCACCGGUGCACUUCUUCUAGUUUAGGCCAGCAUCGACUUCUGGCGGCGGAUAAAAGCUUUAGGAAUGUGGCUCCCUACGGGGAGUGUUAUAGCCUAUUGUAUAAUACGCUGCUGGGGGUCGAGGUACGCGCUUCUGCAAGGAUGCUGGCGUAAUGGUUAUCAAUCACCCGUCUUGAAACACGGACCAAGGAGUCGAACAUUUAUGCGAGUGUUUGGGUGUUAAACCCUCACGCGUAAUGAAAGUGAACGGAGGUGAGAGCCCUUACGGGUGCAUCAUCGACCGAUCCUGAAGUUUUCGGAUGGAUUUGAGUAAGAGCAUAACUGUUCGGACCCGAAAGAUGGUGAACUAUGCGUGGAUAGGGUGAAGCCAGAGGAAACUCUGGUGGAGGCUCGCAGCGGUUCUGACGUGCAAAUCGAUCGUCAAAUCUGCGCAUGGGGGCGAAAGACUAAUCGAACCAUCUAGUAGCUGGUUACCGCCGAAGUUUCCCUCAGGAUAGCAGUGUUGUCUUCAGUUUUAUGAGGUAAAGCGAAUGAUUAGGGACUCGGGGGCGCUAUAUAGCCUUCAUCCAUUCUCAAACUUUAAAUAUGUAAGAAGCUCUUGUUACUUAAUUGAACGUGAGCAUUCGAAUGUACCAACACUAGUGGGCCAUUUUUGGUAAGCAGAACUGGCGAUGCGGGAUGAACCGAACGCGGGGUUAAGGUGCCGGAGUGGACGCUCAUCAGACACCACAAAAGGUGUUAGUACAUCUUGACAGCAGGACGGUGGCCAUGGAAGUCGGAAUCCGCUAAGGACUGUGUAACAACUCACCUGCCGAAUGUACUAGCCCUGAAAAUGGAUGGCGCUCAAGCGUCCCACCCAUACCUCGCCCUUAGGGUAGAAACGAUGCCCUAAGGAGUAGGCGGCCGGGAGGUCAGGACGAAG